AUACGGGGGAUUCAAGCGUUAUCCGGACUUAUUGGGUUUAAAGGGUGCGUAGGCUGAUAAAUCAGUCAGCGGUGAAAUUUACGGGCUUAACUUGUAGCUUGCCGUUGAAACUAUUUAUCUAGAGAUAUUUCGGCGUAUGCGGAAUGUAUCAAGUAGCGGUGAAAUGCAUAGAUAUGCUACAGAACACCAAUCGCGAAGGCAGCAUAAGAGGCAUCAUCUGACGCUGAUGCACGAAAGCGUGGGGAUCAAACAGGAUUAGAUACCCUAGUAGUCCACGCUGUAAAGUAUGAUAACUAACUUUGAGCGAUACGCAGUUAGAGGGUGCGAGAAAUCAUUAAGUUAUCCAGCUAGGGAUUCCGUUCGCAAUAAUGAAGCUCAAAGUAACUGACGGGG
Molecule: ribosomal RNA, 393 nt
Filed under: uncultured bacterium
Lineage: Bacteria
Description: partial 16S ribosomal RNA
Rfam family: Bacterial small subunit ribosomal RNA
Source: RNAcentral